CAUACGGGUCUCCGUUCUCCUCCCACCUCACCCUAGCGCCGCCUCCCUCACGGCGUCUCGUUCCUUGCCCCUAAACCACCCCCUCCUACCCGAGCGAUGGCUGCACCAGGAUGCGUGGAAUCAUGUUGCUUGGUGAUGGGCUCCAUUGCCAGACACCGAACAGCAUCGGCGGGCAAGCCGCGGCGGCGCGUCGGCGCUGUCUACCGAGGGGCGGCACUGCGGGCCGCAAGACGAUGGCGUAAGGCACGAGUCUAUGACGCCAGGCAUGGGAAGCCUCGGCAUCCCGUUCCCAUCCAGUCAUCCAAGCCUCCGGUCGACUGAAGCUCACCUGGGCCGCCUUGCUCAUCGCAUCUCGAUGGGAUCAUCGUGAGCGAGUCCUUCCGGAUGCUAAAGUUUGGACGUCAGCACAUGGUGAAGCCAAGUGACACUCUUAUUUUUCUUUCAUACAUGACCGUUGUGGUGCGUAGAAGAAAGUUCUAAGCUGGGAUUGCAAAAAUUUGAGGAUUUCCCCACAU
Molecule: long non-coding RNA, 515 nt
Organism: Aegilops tauschii subsp. strangulata
Lineage: Eukaryota; Viridiplantae; Streptophyta; Magnoliopsida; Poales; Poaceae
Source: RefSeq, a predicted model, not a curated record